RNAcentral lists this unclassified non-coding RNA (32 nucleotides) under Mus musculus (house mouse). Its description in RNAcentral is "partial H/ACA box snoRNA; small non-messenger RNA (snmRNA)". Lineage: Eukaryota; Metazoa; Chordata; Mammalia; Rodentia; Muridae. The record is from RNAcentral.
CCACGGUGUUCGCUUUUCAGAACCCCACAGAG